This 402-nucleotide ribosomal RNA is filed under the name uncultured Sphingomonas sp. RNAcentral's name for it is "bacterial SSU rRNA". It matches the Rfam family "Bacterial small subunit ribosomal RNA", at positions 353 to 772 of the family's 1533-position model. The record is from RNAcentral. Lineage: Bacteria; Pseudomonadati; Pseudomonadota; Alphaproteobacteria; Sphingomonadales; Sphingomonadaceae.
AGUAGGGAAUAUUGGACAAUGGGCGAAAGCCUGAUCCAGCAAUGCCGCGUGAGCGAUGAAGGCCUUAGGGUUGUAAAGCUCUUUUACCCGGGAUGAUAAUGACAGUACCGGGAGAAUAAGCCCCGGCUAACUCCGUGCCAGCAGCCGCGGUAAUACGGAGGGGGCUAGCGUUGUUCGGAAUUACUGGGCGUAAAGCGCACGUAGGCGGCGAUCUAAGUCAGAGGUGAAAGCCCGGGGCUCAACCCCGGAACUGCCUUUGAGACUGGAUUGCUAGAAUCUUGGAGAGGCGGGUGGAAUUCCGAGUGUAGAGGUGAAAUUCGUAGAUAUUCGGAAGAACACCAGUGGCGAAGGCGGCCCGCUGGACAAGUAUUGACGCUGAGGUGCGAAAGCGUGGGGAGCAAA